This 253-nucleotide ribosomal RNA is filed under the name uncultured bacterium. RNAcentral's name for it is "partial 16S ribosomal RNA". It matches the Rfam family "Bacterial small subunit ribosomal RNA", at positions 524 to 776 of the family's 1533-position model. The record is from RNAcentral.
CACGUAGGGCGCAAGCGUUGUCCGGAAUUAUUGGGCGUAAAGAGCUCGUAGGCGGACUGUUGCGUCCGCUGUGAAAAGCUGGGGCUUAACCCUGGCCUUGCAGUGGAUACGGGCAGACUAGAGGUAGGUAGGGGAGAAUGGAAUUCCCGGUGUAGCGGUGGAAUGCGUAGAUAUCAGGAGGAACACCGAUGGCGAAGGCAGGUCUCUGGGCCACUACUGACGCUGAGAAGCGAAAGCAUGGGGAGCGAACAGG